GAACACGCGUAAACAUUAAGCCUAACUCACCCGUUACACAUUAAACAAAGUGAUCAGGAAAUUGGUUUAUGAUAAAAACAAAGACUACUACGCAGAUAUAGAAACGGAAUAGGGCUAAUCAAACUAGUUUUGCUGGUUAUCAGUGAGUGAACGCUGAAACAGAAGAAAACCAUUGUGAAGGAUGCUGCAGUUAACACCGUACGGCAUCAAACUCGCCGUGCACAUCAUCGAGACCGACUUCGGCAGUCGUGCCUCUGUAGUAUGUGAAUGUUUACUCAGAAAAGGAACCUUAACAGGGGAGAUGAUUUCUCGAUUCACCAAACUUGACAAUAAGAAAGUUAUGAAUUGUCUUUCAAAUUUAAUUCAACAUAACUGCGUCCAAGCCUUUACCCUUGACCAAGAAGGUUUUUUUUUGUUUUUUUUUUUAAAUUUUUUUAACUCCUUUUCAUUUUAUGUUUGAUGUUAAUAGUUUGAUGUUGUUUGAGUAUUAACUGAAAAUUAUAAUGUUGAUUUACGUAUGCUUUGUGUCUUUAGUAGUUAUGAUGAAGUAUUUACUAGUGUUGCUAAACUCAUUUUACUACUAGAUUUUGUAAAUGGUUAUUAUGUUAUUAUUGUUCUGUUAAACGGUUGGGAAAUUUGAUAGAAAUUCUCUUCUAAUUUAAUGUAAUUGGUCAUAAACAAUCUUAUAUGUCAUAUUGUUGAUAAUUUUAUUAGGGGCGAUUUUUCGGGUUUUCUGUUGAGUUGUUUUGAUGUUGAUUUGUUUGGUUUAUGUGGCCGUCCCCAUAUUGUUGAUAUUCAAGCUUUGAAGUUGUAAAUGGUGUUUUUGAAUUUCAUUCGACUCUAAUUUUCCUUGUGAAUGGUAAUCUUUUCAUUUUAUUUACUCUAGUUGAUGAAAUGGUGAGUAAUCAGUGAAUAAUAAUUAGUUUUUUCCAAAAGAUAUUCUUUUGCUUCUAGGGUAAGGAUGAUUCUUUAUAGGCAAUAGGGUAGGGAAAUGAUCUUUGUGUAGGUGGUAAAAUUUGAACCCUGAUCACGUGGUUGUAGAAAAACCUUCAAACCCUUCAACUAUUAGGAAUGAAAUGUUGUUUGGUAUACAUAUUUUAACCUACUUCUUAUUUUUCACUUCCUUUUUCAUUGUGUUGCCACGUUUUUUCCUUGAAUAGCCCAUUUUAUCCCCUCUUAAAAAGUUAUGAUUUUUCAAAAUCCACCAAACUCGACAAUUGCUCAACAUAUGUUAUUUAACCGCUACAACGAUAUUUCACCAUUGCAACGUUAUUUGUCUUCUCGUUAAAAUUUCAUAAAUACCCGUUAAAUUUAAUUAUUAAGAUCACGUAAACUAUAGUUACUCGUACUUUUAGUUAAAAAAAUAAUUAAUUGGUUUAUCAAUUCUCCAACAAAAGUACCUCAUAUACUACAAUCAUAGCUAUGGCCAUAUUAUUGCAUAAUAAUAGUAGUUCAACAAAAUUUGCAAGUAUAAGUUCAAAAAUUAUUAAUUAUCCACAUGCACUAGAUCUAGUUCCUAGACGACCCACAUUAUCAAAGUCAUGCAUCUAUCCUGAGUCCUCUAAACCUACCGUAUCGAUAACAACAAUAAUAAAUAUUGAAUGUAUAAUAACCUUGCUUUUGCUUGCAAGAUGCACGAGUAAAAUGAAAUGCAAUG
Molecule: long non-coding RNA, 1657 nt
Organism: Amaranthus tricolor (Joseph's coat)
Lineage: Eukaryota; Viridiplantae; Streptophyta; Magnoliopsida; Caryophyllales; Amaranthaceae
Exons: 3
Source: RefSeq, a predicted model, not a curated record